CCGGAUUGCCUCGUGUCGUUCAUCUGAGCGCUCCUAGAGCUGUAUAAAUGUUCCCCUUAUUUCGUUGACGAACCCUAGCCCCCGAAAUUCCCCUAUCCCACUCGUGUUUCUCCACUGAACCUCAUGCCGGAGAUGUUGUCACUGCGCCUUCGUCGAUCCUGCGGCCACUGACUCCCCAUCGCUGCAUCGCCAUGUCCAUGAGGUUCUCCGUCGUCUGCUUCAUCGUCUCCAACACCGGAUCGAGCCCGGGGAACCACACGGACAACGCCCAUGUCUUCUUCUUCACCAAAGACCGUCCCGGCCAUCGCCGUCGAUCUCCACCACUGGUGCCUCCCGGCCUCGCCGAGCUCGUCCACAGCCUCCCCAGGGUGAGCCUCCGCCCAUUCCCCCUUUCUUCCCCUCUCCACGGCCACCGCGGCUUGCCCUGCUUGCCCCGCGUGACCACUGGCACCCCCCGAAAGCCCGCGCAGCCGCCAGUGCCAGGACGCGCCUACCACCGCACCCGCGCCAACUUCUGGCCACGCGCUCGUCCGCCCGCUUCGCCCAGCGCGCCUGCAAUGCCCUCUCCCGCCUUUGCCAGCCGCACGCUACCUCCUGCCGCAACCCCCUGCGGACGCCCGUGUCCCCCUGCCCAGCACGCCUCGCGCCGGACGGCGCUCGCCGCCCCCUUCCUCUAGCUGUUGCGACUGCUGCCAUGUUGCCUCGGCCGCUGAUUGCCGCUGCUGCCUGGCUACUCCCCUGCUCCCGCCAGUGCUCCCCAUCGCUGGCCGCCGGCGCCCUGAGCCCGUUUGCGCCCGUGUCCGGCUGGCUCUCUGUAUUAGGGGCCAACCCUGUUAGAUUAGUUAGAGAUAAGUUAGUUGUUAAUUAGUAUAUGUAUCACUAACAAGUGGACCUUCUAUUAGUUACAGAAGAAGAACAAAUUGAAAAUAAAUGUCUAAGGGAAUGACAUGUGGGUCCCCAUGACCCUGUUGACCGGUCAACAUUGACCCAGUCAACGCUGACUGAACUAGUUGACUGGGCCCUGGACCCCACCUGUCAUACACUCGCUGGUUAAUCCAGUGGGUACACUUAGGAAUUUUUGUUUAUUUCGAAUUAAUAUUAAAUCCAUGAAUUUUCAGAAUAUUGAUUAGAACUUCAGAAAAUCAUAUAAAUUAAACCGUAGCUCGGAUCAAAAAACUUUCUAUAUGAAAGUCGAUCAGAAAAAUAUGACGAAUCCGAAUAUGCCAUUCGUUCAUCUGUCAGAUGCCCCUAGCAUAGCAAACAUGGAUAUGUCCCCUCUGAUUCAUUUGUCCGGAAAAUGCCAAACGCUAGGAAAAUAUUCCUGGAUGUUUUCCCUCUUCAUCUGCAACGUGUAGCAUUGCGUUAGUCCACCCCUAGCACCGCGUAUUGCCAUGUUAUACUUUGUGUUGCUUCAUUGCUUUAUUAUUUAUUUGUGUUCCCCCUCCGUUACUUCUUUCCGGUAGACCUCAAGACCGUCGCCGAUACCCCCGUGAUCGACUACAUCGACGACGACCCCUCCUUCUUGCCAGAGCAACCAGACAAGCACCCCCCUUUUGAGCAUACCGAUAUCUCCUACUCUAUCUCUCUUAUGCUUGCAUUAGAAUCUGCUGCUACUACUGUUAUCCUAUUUCUGCUGCAUAGCCUGUUUAUUUAACCUGCCGUUGUUACCUACCUACCUAUCCUAAACUGUUUAGUAUAGGCUGGGUAGAGACCCAUCAGGGACCCCCACUUUGUCCCGACUGCCCAGCUGGAUUAUCAGAAGACCCGAUCAACGGGAUCGAAGACCAGGCCCCGGCACCGCACAUCACUUUCCCCUUAGUUGCUCGACACUACUGGGUUACUAUCGAGUGCCGAGGGUGAUACCUCAUCAGCACUGCUGAUGUUAACCUUGUAGGUUAGUUCAUCGGUUAUGGUCAUCGAGGGUGAUUCCUCCUUCUCCACUCCCGAUAACGACACUGUCGUGCAACUCCACAAGAGUGGACCUCGAGGGUGAUUCCUCCUUCGUUCACCUUGACGAUAACAUCAGGUGGAAUUCCAUCGAGGGUGAUUCCUUAGGGUUCCCCUUGGUGUUAGACACACCAUUACUAUGGUUAAUAUGACUUUACACUCAACCAUGUUACUAAAGACGGGUCGGCCCUAAGGGGUACCCGUGUGAGCUUAAUUGCGAGUGAUGUGGAGUCAGGUUGACCUGGAAGGUGCCCGUGAGAUAACUACAUGGCAUGGCCGGGCAUUCUUAGCCCUUGCCGCAAGUCCUCGAGACGGGGCGACGGGGUCACAUCGAUCGUCAGUCUCUGCUCGUUACCGCGCGCUCCACUACGAUUUGGAUAUUUGAUCCGAGGGGCCUCUGGCCUGAUAGCACUAACCAUCACAUGGGCACAAUAUGGGUGUUCUGCGCCGUAUGCAUCAGCCGAAGCUUAAUAGACGUCAGCGACUAAGCGGCGCGCGCCAGGUUGGACUGCGUAAGCACCUGCCUUUUUAAGGAGGUAGCUAGGUCUGCUCAUCGGCCGCAUACCCAACAUGCAGGAAUGCAAAGGGCGAUGGGCCCGUGACCCCUGCGCGCUUAGGAUGUAGACCAGCGUGAUGACCUCUCUAUUAAGCCUAGGUCGGGUUGCGGCGUAUCGUUUGGCCGAGGCCGGGCAUGACCCGGUAAAGUGUGUCGGACCGGAGUUAAUCGAGCGUGGUGGGUAAGUUGGUGCACCCCUGCAUGGAAGAAAACAUCUAUUGAUAGCCUGUCCUACGGUAACAGACACUUGGAGUUGUAUCCCGAUCGAUACAACUAGAACUGGAUACUUGAGAUGAGAAAUGGAUAGUAUGGCUCUGGGAUUGCUUUCUCGCAGGGAGUCGAUGAAGGAUCUCUGGGCGAGGUUGAUGACACUACUACUACUUUACUUUAUGCUAUGCACUCUUCUAAUGCUGCAAGACCACUAAAGAUGCUGAAGAUGUUAGUCUUCGAUAGGACUAGGCUCUCCCCUCUAUUCUGGCAUUUCUACAUCCCAGUCCACAUAUACAGUCUUCCUUUGAUAAUCCUGCAUAUGUAGUGUAGAUCCUUGCUUGCUGAGUACUUAGGAUGAGUACUCACGUUUGCUUUUCUUUCUUUUUCCCCAUAUCUGUUUGAUGCAACCAGAUGACGGAGCCCCUGAGAGCGCUGCCAUCGCCGACGACUACUACUACUAGCCCGAGGGUGCCUUCUACCACGUGGCGGACACCGACGACCAGGAGUAGUUAGGAGGCUCCCAGACAGGUGGCCUUGCCUUUUCGAUCGUUGUUAAUUUUGUGCUAGCCUUCUUAAGACAGACUUGUUUAACUCAUGUCUGUACUUAGAUAUUGUUGCUUCCGCUAACUCAUUUGUAUUCGAGCUUAUGUAUUUGAGCUCUCGAGACCCUGGCUUGUAAUAUAAAGCUUGUAUUAUUAUUUUAAUUUGGGUCUAGAGUUGUGUUGUGAUAUCUUCCCGUGAGUCCCUGAUCUUGAUCGUACACAUUUGCGUGUAUGAUUAGUGUAUGAUUGAAUCGGGGGCGUAACAUUCACCACUUCCAUUGGUGCCUCUCCUAUGAUGCGUGAGUAGUUCUUUGUAGACCUAUGGGUCCGUAGUUAGUAGUUAGAUGGCUUCUUCUCUCUCUCUCUCUUGAUUAUCAAUACAAUGGUCUCUUGGAGAUCCAUCUGAUGUAAGUCUUUUGGCGGUGUGUGUUUUGGGAUCCGAUGAACUUUGAGUUUAUGAUCAGAUCUAUGUUUUUAUCCAUGAAAGUUAUUUGAG
This 3751-nucleotide long non-coding RNA is filed under the name Triticum aestivum (bread wheat). RNAcentral describes it as "long non-coding RNA (TAES_LNC001171)". The record is from RNAcentral. Lineage: Eukaryota; Viridiplantae; Streptophyta; Magnoliopsida; Poales; Poaceae.